CCCUUAGAUGUUCUGGGCCGCACGCGCGCUACACUGAUGCAUGCAACGAGUUCUAUCCUUGGCCGGAAGGCCUGGGUAAUCUGUGAACGUGCAUCGUGAUAGGGAUAGAUUAUUGCAAUUAUUAAUCUUGAACGAGGAAUUCCUAGUAAACGCAAGUCAUCAACUUGCAUUGAUUACGUCCCUGCCCUUUGUACACACCGCCCGUCGCACCUACCGAUUGAAUGGUCCGGUGAAGCCUCCGGAUUGGCGCGCACCUCGGUGCCGCCGAGAAGUUGGCUAAACCUUACCAUUUAGAGGAAGGUGAAGUCGUAACA
This 314-nucleotide ribosomal RNA is filed under the name uncultured eukaryote. RNAcentral's name for it is "partial 18S ribosomal RNA". It matches the Rfam family "Eukaryotic small subunit ribosomal RNA", at positions 1470 to 1796 of the family's 1831-position model. The record is from RNAcentral.